UACGUAUGUCCCGAGCGUUAUCCGGAUUUAUUGGGCGUAAAGCGAGCGCAGACGGUUGAUUAAGUCUGAUGUGAAAGCCCGGAGCUCAACUCCGGAAUGGCAUUGGAAACUGGUUAACUUGAGUGCAGUAGAGGUAAGUGGAACUCCAUGUGUAGCGGUGGAAUGCGUAGAUAUAUGGAAGAACACCAGUGGCGAAGGCGGCUUACUGGACUGUAACUGACGUUGAGGCUCGAAAGUGUGGGUAGCAAACAGGAUUAGAUACCCUGGUAGUCCACACCGUAAACGAUGAACACUAGGUGUUAGGAGGUUUCCGCCUCUUAGUGCCGAAGCUAACGCAUUAAGUGUUCCGCCUGGGGAGUACGACCGCAAGGUUGAA
Molecule: ribosomal RNA, 376 nt
Filed under: uncultured bacterium
Lineage: Bacteria
Description: bacterial SSU rRNA
Rfam family: Bacterial small subunit ribosomal RNA
Source: RNAcentral